Molecule: ribosomal RNA, 252 nt
Filed under: uncultured bacterium
Lineage: Bacteria
Description: partial 16S ribosomal RNA
Rfam family: Bacterial small subunit ribosomal RNA
Source: RNAcentral
UACGUAGGGGGCAAGCGUUGUCCGGAAUUAUUGGGCGUAAAGCGCGCGCAGGCGGUCAUUUAAGUCUGGUGUAUAAACCAAGGGCUCAACCUUUGGACGCAUUGGAAACUGGGUGACUGGAGUGUAGGAGAGGAAAGUGGAAUUCCACGUGUAGCGGUGAAAUGCGUAGAGAUGUGGAGGAACACCAGUGGCGAAGGCGACUUUCUGGCCUAUAACUGACGCUGAGGCGCGAAAGCUAGGGGAGCAAACGGG